RNAcentral lists this ribosomal RNA (386 nucleotides) under Ligidium ryukyuense. RNAcentral describes it as "partial 16S ribosomal RNA". It matches the Rfam family "Bacterial large subunit ribosomal RNA", at positions 1961 to 2588 of the family's 2925-position model. The record is from RNAcentral. Lineage: Eukaryota; Metazoa; Arthropoda; Malacostraca; Isopoda; Ligiidae.
AUAAUCAUUUGUUUUUUAAUUUAAAACUUGUAUGAAAGAGUUGACGAAAAGAUAACUGUCUCUACUUUUAGUAUUGAAAUUGAAUUAGAAGUCAAAAUACUUCUCUUUUUUAGAGGGACGACAAGACCCUAUAAAACUUUACCUUUCAGUUGUAAAAUACUAUCACAGCCAAGGUUUGACUGGGGCGGACAAAAUAAAGCAAUCUCUAUUUUUAAUAUAACACACUGAGUGAUAUCAACCUACAUAUAUAUAAAACAAAUAGUUACUUUAGGGAUAACAGCGUAAUUUUUCUUUAUAGUUCCUAUUGCCAGAAAAGAUUUCGACCUCGAUGUUGAAUUGAAAUUCAAGGUAGAGCAACCCCUACUUGAGCAAGUCUGUUCGACUUA